GUCGACCGGCAGCACGGAGCUUGCUCUGGUGGCGAGUGGCGAACGGGUGAGUAAUAUAUCGGAACGUACCCUGGAGUGGGGGAUAACGUAGCGAAAGUUACGCUAAUACCGCAUACGAUCUACGGAUGAAAGUGGGGGAUCGCAAGACCUCAUGCCCGUGGAGCGGCCGAUAUCUGAUUAGCUAGUUGGUAGGGUAAAAGCCUACCAAGGCAUCGAUCAGUAGCUGGUCUGAGAGGACGACCAGCCACACUGGAACUGAGACACGGUCCAGACUCCUACGGGAGGCAGCAGUGGGGAAUUUUGGACAAUGGGCGAAAGCCUGAUCCAGCAAUGCCGCGUGAGUGAAGAAGGCCUUCGGGUUGUAAAGCUCUUUUGUCAGGGAAGAAACGGUGAGAGCUAAUAUCUCUUGCUAAUGACGGUACCUGAAGAAUAAGCACCGGCUAACUACGUGCCAGCAGCCGCGGUAAUACGUA
This 473-nucleotide ribosomal RNA is filed under the name uncultured Janthinobacterium sp. Its description in RNAcentral is "bacterial SSU rRNA". It matches the Rfam family "Bacterial small subunit ribosomal RNA", at positions 61 to 529 of the family's 1533-position model. The record is from RNAcentral. Lineage: Bacteria; Pseudomonadati; Pseudomonadota; Betaproteobacteria; Burkholderiales; Oxalobacteraceae.